GAAUUUUGGACAAUGGGCGAAAGCCUGAUCCAGCAAUGCCGCGUGCAGGAUGACUGCCUUCGGGUUGUAAACUGCUUGUGUCAGGAACGAAAAGCUUUGGGUUCAUACCCUGGAGUCAUAACGGUACCGUAAGAAUAAGCACCGCCACACUCCGUGCCAGCAGCCGCGGUAAUACGUAGGUUGCAAGCGUUAAUCGGAAUUACUGGGCGUAAAGCGUGCUCAGGCGGUUUUGUAAGACAGAGGUGAAAUCCCCGGGCUCAACCUGGGAACUGCCUUUGUGACUGCAAGGCUAGAGUACGGCAGAGGGGGGUGGAAUUCCGCGUGUAGCAGUGAAAUGCGUAGAUAUGCGGAGGAACACCGAUGGCGAAGGCAACCCCCUGGGCCUGUACUGACGCUCAUGCACGAAAGCGUGGGGAGCAAACA
Molecule: ribosomal RNA, 423 nt
Filed under: uncultured bacterium
Lineage: Bacteria
Description: partial 16S ribosomal RNA
Rfam family: Bacterial small subunit ribosomal RNA
Source: RNAcentral